CUGUAUCAUCGCGUUGUUGCCGCCCGUGGUUCCGUAGCGGCCCCUCCCCGCUCUGUGGCCGUUGGGCGCGUUACGCAGCCGUGACGGCGGCUCCCUCUCGCUCAGGGACGCGGCGGGACUCGAGCUGCAGGCGGGACCAUGUCGCGCUACGGCCGUUACGAGACCAAGGUGUACGUGGGGAACCUGGGCACGGGCGCGGGCAAAGGCGAGCUGGAGAGAGCGUUCAGCUACUAUGGGCCGCUGAGAACCGUGUGGAUCGCCAGGAACCCGCCGGGGUUCGCCUUCGUGGAAUUCGAAGACCCGAGGGAUGCCGAAGAUGCUGUGCUCGGCCUCGAUGGGAAGUACGUUUAGUUUAGAUAAAUCUGUGGCUCCAGGGUCGAGUGGCACGUGUCGACGGGCAUGCCCGUGCUCCCGUUACGACAGGCCUCCCUGCAACGCGCCCCUUUGACCAAUGAAGAUGCUAUGAGUGUGGUGAGAAAGGCCACUAUGCCUACGACUGCCAUCGCUACAGCCGCCGCAGGAGGAGCAGGUCCCGGUCUCGAUCCCGCUCCAGGUCCCGAGGAAGGAGAUAUUCUCGCUCACGCAGUCGUAGUCGUGGUAGGAGGUCCAGGUCUGCUUCCUACCGCAGGUCCAGGUCAAUCUCUCCUCGUAGGUAUAGAUCAUUUUCACCUCGCAGAUCACGGUCUGGCUCCUUAAGGAGAUCAAGAUCUAGGUCCAGAUCACGCUCAAGGUCUCGAUCCGUUGUAUGGCCUCGAAGCAGGUCUGGGUCCCAUGGUAGAUCUAAAUCUGGCUUACCUGCUAAAAGUCGCUCAAAGUCCAGAUCACCAUCUCCAAAGAGAAGUCAUUCACCAUCAGGAAGCCCUUGAAGGAGGAAUGCAUGUCCUGAAAGAAUGGAUUCAAGUUAAAAGGUUAAAGUUUAAGAAGAAGAUUUAUUUUGUUUACAUUAUUAUAAGGGAUUUUGUGGUGUCUUUAUAAACGCAAGGGCUUAGUCCUAGAAGGUUGUUUCUAUUGCCUAACAGCAGGCAUGAAUUUGGAUCUUUUAAAAGUAGACUAAUGCAGAACUCCUUUGUUGUGUUAACGUUCAGUGAUCUGGAAAUAUAGGGCUUUUUGUAUUUGGUGCAUUGGAAUAAACAGUGCAUUUCUAACUAAGAGA
Non-coding RNA from Coturnix japonica (Japanese quail), 1153 nucleotides. The record is from RefSeq and is a predicted model, not a curated record. NCBI's taxonomy places the organism in Eukaryota, Metazoa, Chordata, Aves, Galliformes, Phasianidae.